This 497-nucleotide ribosomal RNA is filed under the name uncultured bacterium. Its description in RNAcentral is "partial 16S ribosomal RNA". It matches the Rfam family "Bacterial small subunit ribosomal RNA", at positions 28 to 507 of the family's 1533-position model. The record is from RNAcentral.
GAUGAACGCUGGCGGCGUGCCUAAUACAUGCAAGUCGAGCGAACGGACGAGAAGCUUGCUUCUCUGUUGUUAGCGGCGGACGGGUGGUUAACACGUGGAUACCCUACCUAUAAGACUGGGAUAACUUCGGGAAACCGGAGCUAAUCCCGGAUGAUAUUUUGAACCGCAUGGUUAAAAAGUGAAAGACGGUCUUGCUGUCACUUAUAGAUGGAUCCGCGCUGCAUUAGCUAGUUGGUAAGGUAACGGCUUACCAAGGCAACGAUGCAUAGCCGACCUGAGAGGGUGAUCGGCCACACUGGAACUGAGACACGGUCCAGACUCCUACGGGAGGCAGCAGUAGGGAAUCUUCCGCAAUGGGCGAAAGCCUGACGGAGCAACGCCGCGUGAGUGAUGAAGGUCUUCGGAUCGUAAAACUCUGUUAUUAGGGAAGAACAUAUGUGUAAGUAACUGUGCACAUCUUGACGGUACCUAAUCAGAAAGCCACGGCUAACUACGUG